GAUGAACGCUGGCGGCGUGCCUAAUACAUGCAAGUCGAGCGAACGGACGAGAAGCUUGCUUCUCUGAUGUUAGCGGCGGACGGGUGAGUAACACGUGGAUAACCUACCUAUCAGACUGGGAUAACUUCGGGAAACCGUAGCUAAUACCGGAUAAUAUUUUGAACCGCAUGGUUCAAAAGUGAAAGACGGUCUUGCUGUCACUUAUAGAUGGAUCCGCGCUGCAUUAGCUAGUUGGUAAGGUAACGGCUUACCAAGGCAACGAUGCAUAGCCGACCUGAGAGGGUGAACGGCCACCCUGGAACUGAGACACGGCCCAGACUCCUACGGGAGGCAGCAGUAGGGAAUCUUCCGCAAUGGGCGAAAGCCUGACGGAGCAACGCCGCGGGAGUGAUGAAGGUCUUCGGAUCGUAAAACUCUGUUAUUAGGGAAGAACAUAUGUGUAAGUAACUGUGCACAUCUUGACGGUACCUAAUCAGAAAGCCACGGCUAACUACGUG
Molecule: ribosomal RNA, 497 nt
Filed under: uncultured bacterium
Lineage: Bacteria
Description: partial 16S ribosomal RNA
Rfam family: Bacterial small subunit ribosomal RNA
Source: RNAcentral